This 23-nucleotide non-coding RNA is filed under the name Rattus norvegicus (Norway rat). Lineage: Eukaryota; Metazoa; Chordata; Mammalia; Rodentia; Muridae. The record is from RNAcentral.
UGAAAGAUUUGGAAGCAGAGGCG